CAGUCGAGCGAGCUUGCCUAGAUGAUUUUAGUGCUUGCACUAAAUGAAACUAGAUACAAGCGAGCGGCGGACGGGUGAGUAACACGUGGGUAACCUGCCCAAGAGACUGGGAUAACACCUGGAAACAGAUGCUAAUACCGGAUAACAACACUAGACGCAUGUCUAGAGUUUGAAAGAUGGUUCUGCUAUCCCUCUUGGAUGGACCUGCGGUGCAUUAGCUAGUUGGUAAGGUAACGGCUUACCAAGGCAAUGAUGCAUAGCCGAGUUGAGAGACUGAUCGGCCACAUUGGGACUGAGACACGGCCCAAACUCCUACGGGAGGCAGCAGUAGGGAAUCUUCCACAAUGGACGAAAGUCUGAUGGAGCAACGCCGCGUGAGUGAAGAAGGGUUUCGGCUCGUAAAGCUCUGUUGGUAGUGAAGAAAGAUAGAGGUAGUAACUGGCCUUUAUUUGACGGUAAUUACUUAGAAAGUCACGGCUAACUACGUGCCAGCAGCCGCGGUAAUACGUAGGUGGCAAGCGUUGUCCGGAUUUAUUGGGCGUAAAGCGAGUGCAGGCGGUUCAAUAAGUCUGAUGUGAAAGCCUUCGGCUCAACCGGAGAAUUGCAUCAGAAACUGUUGAACUUGAGUGCAGAAGAGGAGAGUGGAACUCCAUGUGUAGCGGUGGAAUGCGUAGAUAUAUGGAAGAACACCAGUGGCGAAGGCGGCUCUCUGGUCUGCAACUGACGCUGAGGCUCGAAAGCAUGGGUAGCGAACAGGAUUAGAUACCCUGGUAG
This 774-nucleotide ribosomal RNA is filed under the name uncultured bacterium. Its description in RNAcentral is "bacterial SSU rRNA". It matches the Rfam family "Bacterial small subunit ribosomal RNA", at positions 59 to 793 of the family's 1533-position model. The record is from RNAcentral.